Molecule: ribosomal RNA, 256 nt
Filed under: uncultured bacterium
Lineage: Bacteria
Description: partial 16S ribosomal RNA
Rfam family: Bacterial small subunit ribosomal RNA
Source: RNAcentral
UACGUAGGGUGCGAGCGUUGUCCGGAAUUAUUGGGCGUAAAGAGCUUGUAGGCGGUUUGUCGCGUCUGCCGUGAAAGCCCAGGGCUUAACCCUGGGUCUGCGGUGGGUACGGGCAGACUAGAGUGUGGUAGGGGAGACUGGAAUUCCUGGUGUAGCGGUGAAAUGCGCAGAUAUCAGGAGGAACACCGAUGGCGAAGGCAGGUCUCUGGGCCACUACUGACGCUGAGAAGCGAAAAGCAUGGGGGAGCAAAACAGG